GGCCUCCCAGAGUGCUAGGAUUACAGAGCUGAUGUUUUUGGAGACAAGUACGCUGAUGAGAGAAUGUGGAAGAGGCUUUUGUACAGUGUGCAAGAAAAAUACUUAACAAAAUUGAAUCAGUGGGCCCAGUGAGCUGCAGGAGGAUGCAGGGACUGCAGGGCUGUCACAGGCACUGACGGAGCAGGGUUUCCCUCCUGGUGGUGCUGACCUGUCUGACUGCCGAGAGCCGAUCAGAAGCGCCACCUCCCUGUCUGCUGAGCCUGAGGCCGAGUCUGUUCUGGAUGGAGCGGGGCCCUGAGCUGAGGCCACACCCUGAGAACUCAGAACUGAGGGAGCAGAUGGAGGAAGGGGAGCCGGCAGGUUGGGGGAUGAGAAUGACCGAAACAAGGACACGGGAAUGGUGGUGCAGGUGGA
Long non-coding RNA from Lemur catta (Ring-tailed lemur), 414 nucleotides. RefSeq lists it as uncharacterized. Lineage: Eukaryota; Metazoa; Chordata; Mammalia; Primates; Lemuridae. The transcript is spliced from 4 exons. The record is from RefSeq and is a predicted model, not a curated record.